CCCUUAGAUGUUCUGGGCCGCACGCGCGCUACACUGAUGCAUUCAACAAGCCUAGCCUUGACCGAGAGGUCCGGGUAAUCUUUGAAACCGCAUCGUGAUGGGGCUAGAUUAUUGCAAUUAUUAAUCUUCAACGAGGAAUGCCUAGUAAGCGUGAUUCAUCAAAUCGCGUUGAUUACGUCCCUGCCCUUUGUACACACCGCCCGUCGCUCCUACCGAUUGAAUGUGUUGGUGAGGAGCUCGGAUUGGCAGCAGUUGGUGGUUCGCCACCGGCUAUUGCUGAGAAGUCCUCCAAACCGCCCCAUUUAGAGGAAGGAGAAGUCGUAACA
This 326-nucleotide ribosomal RNA is filed under the name uncultured eukaryote. RNAcentral describes it as "partial 18S ribosomal RNA". It matches the Rfam family "Eukaryotic small subunit ribosomal RNA", at positions 1470 to 1796 of the family's 1831-position model. The record is from RNAcentral.